Molecule: ribosomal RNA, 253 nt
Filed under: uncultured bacterium
Lineage: Bacteria
Description: partial 16S ribosomal RNA
Rfam family: Bacterial small subunit ribosomal RNA
Source: RNAcentral
UCCAGAGGGUGCGAACGUUGCUCGGAAUCACUGGGCGUAAAGCGCGUGUAGGCGGAUCAGAAAGUCAGGUGUGAAAUCCCUGGGCUCAACCUAGGAACUGCAUCUGAAACUUCUGGUCUGGAGUGUCGGAGAGGGUGACGGAAUUCCCGGUGUAGAGGUGAAAUUCGUAGAUAUCGGGAGGAACAUCAGUGGCGAAGGCGGUCACCUGGACGGUAACUGACGCUGAGGCUCGAAAGCGUGGGGAGAAAACAGG